RNAcentral lists this ribosomal RNA (393 nucleotides) under Colpodella tetrahymenae. RNAcentral's name for it is "bacterial SSU rRNA". It matches the Rfam family "Eukaryotic small subunit ribosomal RNA", at positions 462 to 880 of the family's 1831-position model. The record is from RNAcentral. Lineage: Eukaryota; Colpodellaceae.
AGGUAGUGACAAGAAAUAGCGAUAUGGUACUUUUGUGCCGUAAUUGCAAUGAGUUGAUGUUAAAUCUCUCAACGAGUAACGAUUGGAGGGCAAGUCUGGUGCCAGCAGCCGCGGUAAUUCCAGCUCCAAUAGCGUAUAUUAAAGUUGUUGCAGUUAAAAAGCUCGUAGUUGGAUUUCUGUCUUUUGGUGAACCAACAACCUAGUGUUGAUGUGUGAAUCAUAGACAUUAUUCUACUGGAUAGUGGUAACACUAUGUUGGUAGAGCCUUUACUUUGAGAAAAUUAGAGUGUUUCAAGCAAGCGUUUGCUUUGAAUACUACAGCAUGGAAUAAUACAAUAGGACUUCGGACCUAUUUGUUGGUUUCUAGGUUUGAAGUAAUGGUUAAUAGGGACA